CUCCUGAGCUCUUGCUCUCUCUCUCUCAAAAAAUAAAUAAAAUCUUUAAAAAAAAAACCCAGUGCAUUUAAUUGUAAUGUUAUGGUAGCCAUAAAAUAUCAGAAAUAAAAAUUAGGAACAUGACUUAUUUAUUUUGUUUGAGAAUGUAUAACUGAAACCUAUCUUAUGACAAUUGAAGACUAAGGGAUAUUUGUAUCAAUAAGGCAAUAUGGAAAUAAUAUAAAUGCUGUUUGCCUCUGCCUUAGCUUUAAGAUAGGCCAGCCCUGCUCACUAAUACCAUUUUAUAGUCUAGGAACUGCAUGCCCAUCUGUAGCUGUAAGAACCUGCUUUUUCCCCUAUCAGUGACCACUUUCACUUGCCUCGAACUUUUAUGAAAACUGGACUCCUCCUUGGCUGAGUUCCAAGUCCUCAUCAUCUGGGCUUUGUCUUCAGGCCAGAUUCCAGGGUGCCAUACUUCCAGGUGUCAGACCAAGACACAGUCGUGCCAAAGGAAAGAGACAAUGUCUGCUUCUUUGAGAACACCUUGCCCAGGAUCUGCACCCAGGCUUAGCACUCAGCUUGCAUUGGCGAAAAUUAUAUCAGAAAUCUACACUUAGGCCAAUUGUCAAGUCCAGGUCUCUUGCUGCACAGCAGAGGGAAAACCAGAAUGAAUACUCCCUGGAAAGCCCAUCUGAGAAAAGGCACCCCAGAAGGGGGCUCAUUCAGGUGUUGCAUUUUCUUCUCUGGAGAUUGUCCACCAAAUACAUCACUUCACUCUGAUCACCUUAUUGUGAAACAUUUGAGUAUUUGAUACAACAAUCAAGAUUGCUGUGAAAACUAGACAGUUUAAGGAGUAUUUACUUCCAAGAUGGUUAUUCACAGCGGUACAUUAAUAAGGUAACUACAAAGCAUAGUGUAGUAACUUUGAACUAGCCUUUACCAUCU
RNAcentral lists this long non-coding RNA (924 nucleotides) under Vulpes vulpes (red fox). RNAcentral describes it as "lncRNA (ENSVVUG00000019166.1)". The record is from RNAcentral. Lineage: Eukaryota; Metazoa; Chordata; Mammalia; Carnivora; Canidae.